UACGUAGGGCGCAAGCGUUGUCCGGAAUUAUUGGGCGUAAAGAGCUCGUAGGCGGUCUGUUACGUCUGCUGUGAAAACCCAGGGCUUAACCCUGGGCUUGCAGUGGAUACGGGCAGACUAGAGGCAGGUAGGGGAGAAUGGAAUUCCCGGUGUAGCGGUGAAAUGCGCAGAUAUCAGGAAGAACACCCGUGGCGAAGGCGGCUCUCUGGGACGGUACUGACGCUGAGACGCGAAAGCGUGGGGAGCGAACAGG
This 253-nucleotide ribosomal RNA is filed under the name uncultured bacterium. RNAcentral's name for it is "partial 16S ribosomal RNA". It matches the Rfam family "Bacterial small subunit ribosomal RNA", at positions 524 to 776 of the family's 1533-position model. The record is from RNAcentral.